GGUUUUAAUAAGAUUGAGGCCAUAAUCCGGCUAUGGAAGGUUUGAUGUAAACGCCUGUUUGUUACCUUAAUCGGGUAUGGUAAGAAUCUGAGAAAACAUUACAUUAACUCCGAUAUGUUUGCGUAAAUUUUCGAUUUGUGUGUGCACAUGAACGUAGGAAAGUCGGCUUUAAAUUUUGACAUUUUAAAACUGCAUAUGCGGAAGGUCACCAGACGCAGUGACCUGGAUGUUGUUUGUAUAUCUUUAUGCAGGGGGAAAGGAUCAAGUACAGUUAAACCAGCAUGAUUAAGUCUGAGGCACUGUGGUUUUAAUCGAUGUUUAAAGAUGGUAGGGAAACACUCAGGUGGGUAUGAGCGUGUGGCAUGCCUGCGACGAUUCAACAUGUUAUUAUAAUGUAAAAUACAGGAAAGUAAGAUGGUAUUCAACUUUAUUUCAGAAUUAGGAGUUUCUUUUGAAACGUUUCUUGGUUCAGAUAAGAAUAAGCGGUAACUAUUUGAAAGGAAAGCUUUGGAUUUGUUUGUAUGCAACCAGACUUGCACGGAUGCAUCCGAGGAUCAGUUGUGUUUUUUUUUAACGACAAGCAGAGGGCAGUAAUGCGUGUGGAAGUUUAACAAACCAGUAUCAAACAAAGCGAAGAAGAAGCGGAAGCAAAACGCAGAGCGAUGUGAAGUAAUUAUUUUUGGACCCAGGAGCUGAGGGGAGUGCUUCGGAGGAAUCGGUGCUGGGCGCUUCAUAUGUCCCGAUUCAGAAUGCUGCUCCCCGACUCGCCUUCAACCUUCCCAAGUUAUCCCAUGUCACUCCUCUGCUGAGUUCACUCCACUGGCUACCGGUCACUGCCAGGACCAGGUUCAAAGUCUGACCCUCACCUACCCUGCAGCCAACAGGACGGCCCCCGGCUACUUACAGGACAUGAUUCAAUCCUACACGCCAGCUCAACCACUUCGCUCUGUGGCAACAGGGCCACUUGCACCCCUGCCAUUCGGAUGAAUCUGGGAUCAUUUGAGCAAUCGGGGAUCAUUUUUAUCACUUAAAUCCCACUCUUUCAUGCUACACAUGUACCUCCUGUGCCAAUUUCAUGUUACAUGUACCUCCAUCCAGCACUUAUACUGUACUUUGUAUCAUUAUCUUGCUGUUGUAGCUUGUCAUGCCUCCUAGUUUUACUUAGCAUAGGUUAGGUUAGAGUAAUGUUUAAUGUGCGUACUAAACUUAAUGUGUUUGUGGUUAUGAAUAACUAUUACAAAAUGAGUAUUGUACCUUAUUGGACCUGUGUUUUGUAGUUGUUCCAAUGACCUUUGGUAUGCACUUAUUGUACAUCACUGGAUAAAAAUGUCUGCUGAAUAUAUGUAAUACAAUGUAAUGUCAGGAGUUUGCCUCCCUCUGCUGGACAGAAAACGGCAUUACAGCAGAGGAAGUCCAAUUUAAAAAAUGUUGCAAUGUACAAGUCUAUUUUUUGUAUGGUUAUCAAAAUGUAUGUGGAUUUUAAUGCUGCACACAAGGUGCCCUCUGGGGAUAAUAAAGAUCUACUGAAACCGAAA
Anguilla anguilla (European eel) is the source of this 1535-nucleotide long non-coding RNA. RefSeq lists it as uncharacterized. The record is from RefSeq and is a predicted model, not a curated record. Lineage: Eukaryota; Metazoa; Chordata; Actinopteri; Anguilliformes; Anguillidae. The transcript has 2 exons.